This 253-nucleotide ribosomal RNA is filed under the name uncultured bacterium. RNAcentral describes it as "partial 16S ribosomal RNA". It matches the Rfam family "Bacterial small subunit ribosomal RNA", at positions 524 to 776 of the family's 1533-position model. The record is from RNAcentral.
UACGGGGGGGGCAAGCGUUGUUCGGAAUUACUGGGCGUAAAGGGCUCGUAGGUGGCCGACUAAGUCAGACGUGAAAUCCCUCGGCUUAACCGGGGAACUGCGUCUGAUACUGGACGGCUUGAGUUCGGGAGAGGGAUGCGGAAUUCCAGGUGUAGCGGUGAAAUGCGUAGAUAUCUGGAGGAACACCGGUGGCGAAGGCGGCUUCCUGGACCGACACUGACGCUGAGGCGCGAAAGCUAGGGGAGCAAACGGG